This 460-nucleotide ribosomal RNA is filed under the name uncultured bacterium. RNAcentral describes it as "partial 16S ribosomal RNA". It matches the Rfam family "Bacterial small subunit ribosomal RNA", at positions 338 to 795 of the family's 1533-position model. The record is from RNAcentral.
CCUACGGGUGGCAGCAGUGAGGAAUAUUGGUCAAUGGCCGUAAGGCUGAACCAGCCAAGUCGCGUGAAGGAAGAAGGAUCUAUGGUUUGUACACUUCUUUUAUAGGGGAAUAAAGGUAUCCACGUGUGGAUAUUUGCAUGUACCCUAUGAAUAAGCAUAGGCUAACUCCGUGCCAGCAGCCGCGGUAAUACGGAGGAUGUGAGCGUUAUCCGGAUUUACUGGGUUUAACGGGUGCGUAGGUUGUUUUUUAAGUCAGCGGUGAAAGUUUGUGGAUCAAACAGAAAAUUGCCGUGGAUACUGGAAGACUAGAGUGUGUUUGAGGUAGGCGGAAUGCGUGGUGUAGCGGUGAAAUGCAUAGAUAUCACGCAGAACUCCGGUUGCGAAGGCAGCUUACUAAGCCAUAACUGACACUGAAGCACGAAAGCGUGGGGAGCAAACAGGAUUAGAUACCCGGGUAGUC